CACACACACACAAAAGAUCUGUUACUUCCCUUUUUUAGCCUCACUCCCUAUUUCUCUUCUCACCUGCUAGCAAAAGUCAUAUGAGUAGUAAUUUUAUACCAUUGCUUUUCUUUCUUGCCAUUUAAUUUGCUUCAUCUAUAUGGGUGAAGAAUCCUGGAGAUGAUAAAGAGGGAGGACUCAUAUGAGGCGGAUAGAGAACGUCACUUUUUUCCAAACGCCGAAACCAAUUGCACUUUCUGUUUGUGUUUGUGAUGUUGAGGUUGGUUUGGUUAUUAUAACCCAAGAGGAAAUUAAGCUCUGUGAAUUUUCAAGCACAAGAUGCAAGCUACCUAGAAGACCCUUGCAGCUGAAAAUGCAAAGCAGCGUGUCACAUCGCAGGGGAGGAUCUCUAUACUUGUAAGUAUGGUUCACAUGAUCCCAUGCUCUCUUCCCCUAAUUAUGAAUUAUAGUAUUAGAGCUCGUUUGGCGUAAGCUAUAAGAAGGUAUAGUGGUGGUAUUAAAAUUUAAAAUCACUUUAAUACUUUGUUUGGUUAGCAAAUCUGGUAUAAGUUAUUCCGGGAUUAUAAGUAGUCCGGAAUAACUUAUACCUUGUAAUGAGUGGGGUAAUUAAUACCGGAAUAACUUAUACCUUCUUCUUAGAAAUUAUGUAAUUGUCAUUUUUAAUACAACAUACCAAACAGUAGAUAAAAAAUAAUAGCAGGGUAACUUAUCCCAGCAUAAUUUAUUCCGACAUAAGCCGUAUUCAAACCAAACGACCCCUUGGUAUGCUAAAAAUUUGACUUAGUGUGUACCGGGGAACCCAUCGAAAUUAAUGUAUUUUGGUGCACAUUAGUUAAAGAACGAAGUGGUUAUUAUAUUCACAUAUGGCCAUUAUUUGUUUACAAACUAAUGUUCAUUUUGUUUUAAAUCUUUCCUUUCCUUUUUGGUUUUUCCAAAAUUUGCUAUUCAUUCUUGGUAAAAAUAGUACAGGCUAGUCAGUUUUCGGACUGGUAAUUGAAAAAUAGUCAUCGUUUGCAAAGUCAUUAAAA
Nicotiana tabacum (common tobacco) is the source of this 1028-nucleotide long non-coding RNA. RefSeq lists it as uncharacterized. The record is from RefSeq and is a predicted model, not a curated record. NCBI's taxonomy places the organism in Eukaryota, Viridiplantae, Streptophyta, Magnoliopsida, Solanales, Solanaceae.